GACGAACCGUGCGAACGUUGUUCGGAAUCACUGGGCUUAAAGGGCGCGUAGGCGGGCCAUCAAGUCCGGGGUGAAAUCCUCCGGCUUAACCGGAGAAUUGCCUUGGAUACUGGUGGUCUUGAGGGAAGUAGGGGUCUGCGGAACUUCCGGUGGAGCGGUGAAAUGUGUUGAUAUCGGAAGGAACGCCGGUGGCGAAAGCGGCGGACUGGGCUUCUUCUGACGCUGAGGCGCGAAAGCUAGGAGAGCAAACGGG
RNAcentral lists this ribosomal RNA (253 nucleotides) under uncultured bacterium. RNAcentral's name for it is "partial 16S ribosomal RNA". It matches the Rfam family "Bacterial small subunit ribosomal RNA", at positions 524 to 776 of the family's 1533-position model. The record is from RNAcentral.